ACUGAGAGAGGUGGAGUUAUCAACUUGCUUUCAUUACACAACAUUCUUGAUAAUCUUAGCGAAAUUGGUGUGGAGUACGUUGAGGUAGGGAUUUAGCAUUUUGAUAUCUGGCUUAUUUGGUAAUACAACUACAAGACGAGGAAAGUCAGGCUUACAUCAGUGAAACUUGAUGUUCAAAGCAAUGUGCAACUCACACCAACAUCUGUACCCAAG
This is a long non-coding RNA of Quercus lobata, 213 nucleotides long. RefSeq lists it as uncharacterized. Lineage: Eukaryota; Viridiplantae; Streptophyta; Magnoliopsida; Fagales; Fagaceae. The transcript has 3 exons. The record is from RefSeq and is a predicted model, not a curated record.